This 584-nucleotide ribosomal RNA is filed under the name Hanseniaspora uvarum. RNAcentral's name for it is "partial large subunit ribosomal RNA". It matches the Rfam family "Eukaryotic large subunit ribosomal RNA", at positions 69 to 668 of the family's 3401-position model. The record is from RNAcentral. Lineage: Eukaryota; Fungi; Ascomycota; Saccharomycetes; Saccharomycodales; Saccharomycodaceae.
UUAGGCAUACUUAGUACGGCGAGUGAAGCGGUAAAAGCUCAAAUUUGAAAUCUGGUACUUUCAGUGCCCGAGUUGUAAUUUGUAGAAUUUGUCUUUGAUUAGGUCCUUGUCUAUGUUCCUUGGAACAGGACGUCAUAGAGGGUGAGAAUCCCGUUUGGCGAGGAUACCUUUUCUCUGUAAGACUUUUUCGAAGAGUCGAGUUGUUUGGGAAUGCAGCUCAAAGUGGGUGGUAAAUUCCAUCUAAAGCUAAAUAUUGGCGAGAGACCGAUAGCGAACAAGUACAGUGAUGGAAAGAUGAAAAGAACUUUGAAAAGAGAGUGAAAAAGUACGUGAAAUUGUUGAAAGGGAAGGGCAUUUGAUCAGACAUGGUGUUUUUUGCAUGCACUCGCCUCUCGUGGGCUUGGGCCUCUCAAAAAUUUCACUGGGCCAACAUCAAUUCUGGCAGCAGGAUAAAUCAUUAAGAAUGUAGCUACUUCGGUAGUGUUAUAGCUUUUUGGAAUACUGUUAGCCGGGAUUGAGGACUGCGCUUCGGCAAGGAUGUUGGCAUAAUGGUUAAAUGCCGCCCGUCUUGAACCCACGGACCA